Molecule: long non-coding RNA, 1399 nt
Organism: Erigeron canadensis
Lineage: Eukaryota; Viridiplantae; Streptophyta; Magnoliopsida; Asterales; Asteraceae
Exons: 2
Source: RefSeq, a predicted model, not a curated record
CAAAUCUAUGUUGCGAUUGUCACACCGAAUCUGCAUCUACACUAAUACCUCUGACGUGGCGACCUUUUGUCAGUCAAUGUUGCAUGUGCCAGGGGACGGACUAUUUGCGGCGAGGUCGCCGCUAAUAGUCUGGUGGGGUUGACCAUUGACCUGGUGGUGUUACCCUGUGCCAAAAAUAAAGAGAAAAAUAGUCUGUAUCUCUCUCUCUCUCUUAAGAAUAUCACACUUACUGUAUCUCAUAAACACACAAAUAUUUCUGUUCCCUCUCCCUUCUUGAACUCACAAUAUGAUCUUUCUGAAUUUCUUUUAACUCUCUCUGUUAAAAAAAUCAUCACAUCUCUACAAUAACUCUCUGCUUUCUUUUUUUUUUUUAAUUCAAAACACUCUCAAUUGAUUAAACACGAAAAUGAUUCAGACUAACACCACUCACAAACACGGUUAUAAAGCUCGACUGAUGAACAAAACAAGAGACUCAAGCAAGACUCAACCACACAGCCACGAUUCAAGAGAUAAACAAUUUGUUCUAUAUGCCGAGCUUAUUGCUCGGUAAAUGGGUAAUUAUCAAUCUUCUGCACCAAGAAUGGGAAACGGAUGAAAAUUGAUUUGGUAAAAGAUAUUUGAAAAACUUUGAAAUUUUGGUUGAUUUCUUCUAUUUGCCGAGAUGUGAGCUCGGCAAAUGGUUGAAGUUGGAUGAAAAUUGGUUAAGUAUAGGACAAUAGGUCGAAAUGUAUUGUUUGCAGAGGUAUGAGUUCGGCAAAUGCGGGUAUUGGUGGUCUUGGUUGAAUUUGCAGAAGUCAGGAACGGAUAUAUGGUGUUUGCCGAGCUCGGUAAACACGAGAAUUCGUUACUUCGGCAAAUGAAAAAUGGUGAGUUCAAGAUGAACACGGCGACCGGAAAAUUCAACAACCUCCCCGGAAAAUGUAAAAAUGCCAAUUACUCCUCUUUUACACCGAAAUAGAACACGAAGUUAGCAUCAAAACCUUUAGAAUCUCACUCCGCACAAAUCAUUAUUAACAAAAAUUGAUUAUGAAACUCGCCGGAAAAAUCGAUGUCUCGCCGGAAAACUCAACUGACACUAAAACUCAGCCAAUCGAAAGACUGAAAGCAUGAAAAUAAUCACUGUUUCAACGCGAAUAUAAACGUAUCAGUUUCAAAUCAGAUUGAUGAACAACAACCGAGUAAUCGAAGAGAGAAGUUCUUGAGAAAUUUGUUGUUAAUUUUCUGGUUGUUUUUUUUAUUUUUAUUUUUAUUUUUUAAAUAAUUGAAAAAUGUAAUAUUCAAUGUAAACUAAGGACAAUGACGAGUGAUCGAAAAGCGUGUUGUUACUGUAGCCACAGGAAUAUGAAAAGUGUAAUACAGAUAUUGACUAUUUCUUCUUUUGAAUGUAUCAUUUUAGUUA